CCCUCCGCUUGUCCAUGUGAUCGUCUCUGGCGGUCAGCCGAAUCUGGCUCUGUCCCCUCGCCGUUGAUUGACAGAUCAUGGCCGGGCCUUCUCGCCGAAGAUCCUGCGCGCUGGUGAUUGGCCUACUCCGUUGCCGUGGUGACGAGGGCAGGGCUUGGAGUGCGGUGGAGUUAGUAUGGGCUGCAGCAACUCAACAGCGACUGCCACCGAAAGCGGAGAAAGAACGGUAAGACGAUUGUCCUUAUCCAGCAGAUCCAAGUUCUUGCUACCUGUGUGAAUAAGGCCCUGCUGGAACAGCAAAAGAUACCUGGCUGCAGACUCCACAAGACCAAAUACAACCCCUUAUGUCUGUGAUAUUCCUAUAUGCGAAGCCUGAAGUCUGACCUCAGCAAAUCAGCUUUGUUGUCAGAGGAGUCAACGUCAGAAGAUGAGAAAAGGAGGAAUUACGGAGGUGUCUACGUUGGUUUGCCUGCAGAUACUGCCACCAAGGUUCCCAGUCUCACAGCUACAACUGGCAAAGUCUAGAAGCUGACAUGCAGACCAAGGGAUCUUAAUUAGAAGGUGUUUUUCUUAAUCUGUGGAUCUGAAAAAUAUGUAUGGAUUGUGGAAACACCAAUGAGAUGAAAAGUAAGAUUGAAAUUUGCAUAAUUUAUACAAACAUUAAUGUGAUCAGGAGGAAUAUUCUGUGACUUUCUAGGAUAUACGUUUCAUUUCUGAAGUGCAGGGUGUGAACACAUGAUGUGAGAGAGAAUCAGUACUGCUGCAUUCAAACCUGGACUCCACAUGGACUGUGUAGAAUUGCCACUGGUAGUGUAUGUUUAAUUUUGAAUGCUAAGAAAAUAACAAGAAAUAGGAGCAGGAGUUCGUCAUUUAACCCUUCUAAUCCGUCUCUCCAAAUUGCUCUACUGUUUAGUAACAUUAUGGCUAAUCUUAUUUUGGCCUAAGCUCCACUUCCCUGCCUACUCCCCACAACCUUGCAGAUUCUUCUUUGGAAUAAUCAAAUUGAAUUCGAAUCAUUAAGUUUAUUCCAGUCUUCAUAGAUGCUGCCAGACCUGUUAAGGUUCUCCAGCAUUUUUUAAUCAUCGAGUCACAGAGAUGUACAGCCUGGAAACAGACCCUUUGGAAUAACUUGUCCAUGACACAAGACAGCCUAAAUAAAUCUAGUCCCAUUUGCCAGCAUUUGACCCAUAUCCCACUAAACCUUUUCUAUUCAUAUAUCCAUCCAGAUGCGGUUUAAAUAUUGUAAUUGCAUCAGCCUCCACCACUUCCUCUGGCAGCUCAUUCCAUACAUGCACCACCCUCUGUGUGAAAAAGCUGCCCCUUAAGGUCCCUUUUAAAUCUUUCUCCUCUCAUCUUAAACCUACAUCCUCCAGGUUUGGACUUCCCCACCCUGAGGAAAAGACCUUGUCUAUUUACCUUGUCCAUGCCCUUCAUGAUUUUAAAAACCUCUCUAAGCUCACCUGUCAGUCUCUGAUGCUCCUGGGAAAAUAGCCCCUGUAUAUUCAGCCUCUAACCUAUAGGUCAUACCCUCCAACUCUGGCAACAUCCUUAUAAAUCUUUUCUGAAACCUUUCAAGUUUCACAACAGCCUUCCUAUAGCAGGCAGACCAGAAUUGCAUGCAGUAUUCAAAAAGCGGCCUAACCAGUGUCCUGUACAGCUGCAACAUGAUUUCAAUGCACUGACCCAUAAAGGCAAGCAUAUCAAUCCUUUUAUGCGCUGUCCCUUUGUGAGAAUCUGAGAUUUGGAUACAGGCACAAGAUGGCUGCUGAUGCAAGUUAGCACAAAAUGGCUUCCAGUCUGGGGACUGUAAAUUCUGCUAGAGCUGCUCUUUUAGCCUGGGAAUUCUGAAUUCUGCUAGAGCUGCAUAAAUAACUCAGUAAUGAUAAGAUAAUACAGUACUAACCAUUCUAGCUGACCUUCGAUUGCAAAUGUUGUGGCGCUAUAUGGCGAGACAAAAAGUAACCUAAGCAUUGUGACAUAAGUUGUUUACCAGUUAAUACUAUUGGAUUAUGUAACUGUCAAUGAAGCAAUAUCAUGUAUUAAUUGGUAAUUGUUUGAAUACACUAUGCGAUCGCGCCAUGUACCCUGCUUUAAGAAAAGUAUAAAAAUGUCUUUGUAUUAACCUGUGGUGUGCAGCUCCUCUGAGGAAUACGGAAGUGCUCAACUUCUGAGAUUCUGGAUGAUCUGUAAUUGACCGUACGAAGAAAUAAAGUCUUAAACAGCCUGA
Molecule: RNA transcript, 2227 nt
Organism: Stegostoma tigrinum
Lineage: Eukaryota; Metazoa; Chordata; Chondrichthyes; Orectolobiformes; Stegostomatidae
Exons: 7
Source: RefSeq, a predicted model, not a curated record